AUAGUCAGUCUGGGCUGUACGAUCGACCUGCUGUGAGCACAAUUGAGAGCUGUCAAAAUUUAAAAUGUCUGACAAACCUGAUCUAGCGGAAGUAACGAAGUUUGACAAGUCUAAGUUGAAGAAAACUGAGACCCAGGAAAAGAACCCAUUACCAACUAAAGAAACAAUUGAGCAAGAGAAGGCUUCUUAGUAAGAAUGACUGCUUUAGACAAUUGUAUAAAACAUUAAAAAAGUAACACUUAUUCAUUAAUCAUGACGUCAUCGCCAUCACCAAAAGAAUUCCAGCACUGCCUUGGAGCAGAAUUGUCACACGAGCUCUGCUCAUUUUACAGACGACAUCUGUCACUUCUGCAGACGACAUUGAGCCAGACGAAAAGUGGGAUUUUGAAUUCUGAGGACGUGAUUCAUAGUUAUAAGCUUUGUUGUUAUUUUAGUUAGUCAUAAAUCUUGCAAUUACUGAAAGCAAAUAGACAUUCAGGAUUUCUUUAUCACACAAUGACGGAAAAUAUCUAUACAAAACAAACCUGUAAUGUAAACGGUACAACAUAGUAUGAUGAAAAAAAAAAACAUUACAAGAGACUUUGAAGCAUACAGUUCGUUAGAAAUCAGUUUAGGAAAUAUAAAAAAUUUUGCCACAAAAAGUGCCUCAGUUGACCAUUUUUAAGGCUGCUGAUUGUAGGAAUCUCAUUUUUUAAAUUUAUUGCACAAAUCUGCUCUUUUUACAUUCCUGUGUCUUUGCGGAUCAACUUGUCACUCAUUUCUUAGGUGCUGUGACAGGCCAUAUCUUAUUGUAUACUCAGCAUUUGUACGCUUUUUAUUCUUUUGAUGGCAUUAAACACCAUGUUUUGUAUA
Mercenaria mercenaria is the source of this 852-nucleotide long non-coding RNA. RefSeq lists it as uncharacterized. The transcript is spliced from 3 exons. Lineage: Eukaryota; Metazoa; Mollusca; Bivalvia; Venerida; Veneridae. The record is from RefSeq and is a predicted model, not a curated record.